CAAUAGCGUAUAUUAAAGUUGUUGCAGUUAAAAGCUCGUAGUUGGAUUUCUGGCGGAGUGUCCUCCGGCUGACAGUUCGUUUGGUCCGGAGCGCUCCACCAUCCUUCUGUUAACCGUCACGGGAUUUACUUCCCGAGUCGGGGCGUCAGAUAUUUUACCUUUGAGAAAAUUAAGAGUGUUUCUAAGCAGGCUUCCGCCUUGAAUACAUUAGCAUGGAAUAAUAAGAUAGGACCUCGGUUUUAUUUUGUUGGUUUCUUAGAGCUGAGGUAAUGAUUAAUAGGGAUAGUUGGGGGCGAUUCGUAUUUAACUUGUCAGAGGUGAAAUUACUUGGAUUUGUUAAAGACGGACUACUGCGAAAGCAUUUGCCAAGGAUGUUUUCAUUGAUCAAGAACGAAAGUUAGGGGAGUCGAAGACGAUUAGAUACCGU
RNAcentral lists this ribosomal RNA (427 nucleotides) under uncultured eukaryote. RNAcentral describes it as "bacterial SSU rRNA". It matches the Rfam family "Eukaryotic small subunit ribosomal RNA", at positions 592 to 1018 of the family's 1831-position model. The record is from RNAcentral.